ACACACCGAUAUCGCAGCUCCGUGUCGCGAAACCUACCCUACCGCCUCACGGUCGCCAAGUCAUGCGACUGCCGCGACGCCUCGCCCCCACCGCCUCCCUCCGCUGGCAACAAAUGUUGCCUAUGCCGGUUCCGCAACAACAACCUCCCACUCUAAUCAUUUUUGGAUCAGACUGCCUCUCCGCCAUCGAGCAUCAGCACGGUGAGUCCUCUGUCCGCCUCCCCCUGAUUGUUUUCCCACCUCCCCAUCUUUUUUGGCGUAGACUACCUCUCCGCCAUCGAGCAUCGAGUAUCAGGAUGGUGAGUCCACCACCUGCCUCCCCUUGAUCGUUGUUUUUGGCUCUAGCAAGCAGCUCGCCCUCUGAGGUCCUCAAUCAAACACUUGGUGGUCGACCGCUACUGUCCGUGCACAGGCUGUUCCGGCGCGUCGCGUGACAGAGUGACCACGAUGGGGCUCGUGAUUUCUACAUUGUGAACUAAUUCUUCAAUCCCGCUAGCUUUUAGUUGCAGAAAUUUAUGGAUACAAAAAAACAUCCUCUACAGCCUUGUACAUUUGGUUUUCUAUGCAUAUUUCUUCUUAAGGUUUGUAGCAUAGCCUACUAAUUGAUUGGAGCAGUUUCAGAAGCUUCUUUUAGGUAUAUAUUCUUAGCCUUUUUUGAGAAAAGUACCAUAGCCUAUUAAUAGUUGUUUAUCACUAUUUUCUUUUGUUCCAACUUUCCUUGAUAUGCCAUAUCUCCCUCCUAAUGCAUGUGGUCGCCUAGAUCUUGUUUCUUUCUUCGUUCCAUCUCAUUUUUCAUUAGUGAUUAGAACUACAAUCAUCAAAUGAUGGAUUUGACUAGACUUGUUCUACUUGUACUUUUCUGUGUGUAUUGCAGAACAUGGAGGUGCGGUUGAGAGGAGCUUGCAGAAUCUGUCAAGCGGUAGGGACCGAUGGAUGGGCUGGAGGCGCUAGCUGACAGCUUGUGUGUGCUAUAUAGUCGUCCGUUA
This 986-nucleotide long non-coding RNA is filed under the name Zea mays. Its description in RNAcentral is "long non-coding RNA (ZMAY_LNC003400)". Lineage: Eukaryota; Viridiplantae; Streptophyta; Magnoliopsida; Poales; Poaceae. The record is from RNAcentral.